AUUUUUAACUGGAUAAUUUGUUUUUGGGCUUUGAGUUUUAUAAAUUCUUCAUAUAUUUUGGAUACUAACCUUUUAUCACGUAUGUCACUUGCAAAUACCCUCUCGCAUUCUGUAGGUUGCCACUUAGUUUUGUUGGCUAUGCAGAAGCUUUUUAAUUUGAUGUAGU
Leopardus geoffroyi (Geoffroy's cat) is the source of this 166-nucleotide long non-coding RNA. RefSeq lists it as uncharacterized. The record is from RefSeq and is a predicted model, not a curated record. The transcript is spliced from 3 exons. NCBI's taxonomy places the organism in Eukaryota, Metazoa, Chordata, Mammalia, Carnivora, Felidae.